This is a non-coding RNA of Glutinoglossum americanum, 84 nucleotides long. The record is from the annotation of a GenBank genome assembly. Lineage: Eukaryota; Fungi; Ascomycota; Geoglossomycetes; Geoglossales; Geoglossaceae.
GGGCAAUUGGUCUAGUGGUCUGAUAUCCGCUUCGCAUAACCGCGUAGAUGCGGAGGGUCGUGGGUUCGAUUCCCACAUUGUCCA